UGCAGUCUGCUGAGGACCAGCAGCACGACAUGAAUCCGAUUCCCCUGUUAUUGAAGAAUCUGUCCUCAAGCUCUUUGCUGCACACAGCAUUACUGUGAAGACAUACAGCAAGCAUCAAAGGUGCCUCUCAAGGCAAAGCCAAUGCCCAAAGUCACAUGGUUCAAAAAUGGCAUUGAGGUGAAAGAGGAGGAGAAAGUGGUGGUGGAGAAAGCCAGUGACUGCAUUCACAAUCAAAACCUGUAUGAGUGUGGCAGUGGAGCCAUUAUGCUGAAUCUGAAAGAGACAGGUGUCUCAGCCUGAAGUUGAAGAUGUCAAGAAAGAAGAUGUCACCAUCACCUGAAAUUUCCCAGCCCAGAGUGGAGGCUCCUAAAUCCAAGGCUACAUCAUAGAAAAAAACGAAGAAAGUCUUUGUGUGCAGUCACCAAGGAGCCCAUCCAAGGUCAGACCAAGAUUAUUAUCUGUUUUGUGUAGGCAGAAGGAAAGUUAGAUAAGCUUUGAAU
Apus apus (common swift) is the source of this 500-nucleotide long non-coding RNA. RefSeq lists it as uncharacterized. The record is from RefSeq and is a predicted model, not a curated record. NCBI's taxonomy places the organism in Eukaryota, Metazoa, Chordata, Aves, Apodiformes, Apodidae. The transcript has 3 exons.